GGCACUGUGGCGGAGUGGUUAACGCGACAGAUUCGAAUUUCUUCACCAUCUGUUCCAGUUUCUGGGCGCAUGUUCGAAUCAUGCCAGUGUCG
Non-coding RNA from Mycena alexandri, 92 nucleotides. The record is from the annotation of a GenBank genome assembly. Lineage: Eukaryota; Fungi; Basidiomycota; Agaricomycetes; Agaricales; Mycenaceae.